Molecule: ribosomal RNA, 403 nt
Filed under: uncultured bacterium
Lineage: Bacteria
Description: bacterial SSU rRNA
Rfam family: Bacterial small subunit ribosomal RNA
Source: RNAcentral
AGUAACGCGUAUGCAACUUACCUAGUCAGAGGGGGAUAACCCGGCGAAAGUCGGACUAAUACCGCAUGAAGCAGGGGUCCCGCAUGGGGAUAUUUGCUAAAGAUUCAUCGCUGAUAGAUAGGCAUGCGUUCCAUUAGGCAGUUGGCGGGGUAACGGCCCACCAAACCGACGAUGGAUAGGGGUUCUGAGAGGAAGGUCCCCCACAUUGGUACUGAGACACGGACCAAACUCCUACGGGAGGCAGCAGUGAGGAAUAUUGGUCAAUGGGCGUAAGCCUGAACCAGCCAAGUCGCGUGAGGGAUGAAGGUUCUAUGGAUCGUAAACCUCUUUUAUAAGGGAAUAAAGUUGCGGGACGUGUCCUGUUUUGUAUGUACCUUAUGAAUAAGGAUCGGCUAACUCCGUG